AAACUUUCAACAACGGAUCUCUUGGCUCUCGCAUCGAUGAAGAACGCAGCGAAAUGUGAUAAGUAAUGUGAAUUGCAGAAUUCAGUGAAUCAUCGAAUCUUUGAACGCACCUUGCGCUCUCUGGUAUUCCGGAGAGCAUGUCUGUUUGAGUGUCAUGA
Molecule: ribosomal RNA, 158 nt
Filed under: Chrysozyma griseoflava
Lineage: Eukaryota; Fungi; Basidiomycota; Microbotryomycetes; Chrysozymaceae
Also listed under: 1 other name
Description: 5.8S rRNA
Rfam family: 5.8S ribosomal RNA
About the family: 5.8S ribosomal RNA (5.8S rRNA) is a component of the large subunit of the eukaryotic ribosome. It is transcribed by RNA polymerase I as part of the 45S precursor that also contains 18S and 28S rRNA.
Source: RNAcentral